CCUGGGGUCCUGUGCAGUAGAGUCAACUGAAAGGCGUUCACUGGUGCUACUACACAGUAACUCGAGUUACUGCACAUUUAUUUAGCACUUGCUAAUACAAGUGCUAAACAAAUGCUCAGUAAUAACUGCACAGUAGCAUCUUGUGUAGAUGCGACCAGUGACUGCUUAUCUUGAAACUAAUCAGAAACCCAAUGUAUUUCCCAUCACCAGUGUCCUUGCAAUUCUCCCCUAGUUGCCAGGAAGCUUUAGAUCAGGGCUGUCC
Molecule: long non-coding RNA, 262 nt
Organism: Gavialis gangeticus (Gharial)
Lineage: Eukaryota; Metazoa; Chordata; Crocodylia; Gavialidae
Exons: 4
Source: RefSeq, a predicted model, not a curated record